AGAGUUUGAUCCUGGCUCAGGACGAACGCUGGCGGCGUGCCUAACACAUGCAAGUCGAGCGAUGAAACCCUUCGGGGUGGAUUAGCGGCGGACGGGUGAGUAACACGUGGGUAACCUGCCUCAAAGAGGGGAAUAGCCUCCCGAAAGGGAGAUUAAUACCGCAUAAUAUGUUUUGGUCGCAUGAUCAAAACAUCAAAGGAUUUUCUUCGGAAUUUCCACUUUGAGAUGGACCCGCGGCGCAUUAGCUAGUUGGUGAGGUAACGGCUCACCAAGGCGACGAUGCGUAGCCGACCUGAGAGGGUGAUCGGCCACAUUGGAACUGAGACACGGUCCAGACUCCUACGGGAGGCAGCAGUGGGGAAUAUUGCGCAAUGGGGGAAACCCUGACGCAGCAACGCCGCGUGAAUGAUGAAGGCCUUCGGGUUGUAAAGUUCUGUCUUCUGGGACGAUAAUGACGGUACCAGAGGAGGAAGCCASGGCUAACUACGUGCCAGCAGCCGCGGUAAUAC
RNAcentral lists this ribosomal RNA (509 nucleotides) under uncultured Clostridium sp. Its description in RNAcentral is "bacterial SSU rRNA". It matches the Rfam family "Bacterial small subunit ribosomal RNA", at positions 8 to 526 of the family's 1533-position model. The record is from RNAcentral. Lineage: Bacteria; Bacillati; Bacillota; Clostridia; Eubacteriales; Clostridiaceae.